CAAUUUUUGCUUUAUUUUGGUUCUCUGAUGAGUGUACUGUGGGGUAGACCAGACGCCUGAACUUGACUUUAAAAAAUACCUCACCAUUAAAAAGAACCUUUGAAUUGACUACAUUUAUUAAAAAAAAUGAUAAAGUAAAUGAUAAAGUAAUAAAAAUAUAGUUAAGUGAACUAUUUAUAAGAAAAAGAGGUCUUCCAGGUUGUCAAGGUAUGUGAUUGUACUAACAAAUGGCUGUAAAUUAUGCACUUACUAAUAGCUUUGUAUUAUAUACUAACAAAGGGCUGUAAAUUAUAUGCGUAUGAAAGAGAGGUACAUGCAUGAAUUGCUACGCGAGAGGCGUGAGCAGAACGCGCGGAGGCAGCGCUAGGGAUCGCUCUUUAUAGAUGUAAUCAGAGAAAAGGAGCGCUCCGCGUCUCUGUACCCGCCUGUGGAUUGAGUAAGACUCUCCCGAUAGGGGCAGGGAAAUUGGGAGGAGGCCUUUAAUCUGAUUCCAAAAGCACCUAUAGGGAGGGCUGGAUCUCAGUGAACUGGCCUGUGUAAGUCUUGUUAGUCUAUAUGUUGUGUUUUUAUGUGGUGGUCUGGACCAAAGUGAAUGGGGAAAUUUUUUCUUACAAUUCCUAGAAAAGAGGAUUGAAUAAGAAAGCAUAUAAUGCGAAAUCUGUGAAUGAGGAUGCAUGUGAUGAGAGAAUUGAAAUUAAAGCAUGAGUAGGGUGUGCUUAAGGAUGUUGAGUGUUGGAGAGAAAUUUCUGAGGUGUAGUGUGAGAGAAAGUAAGUAUUAUAAUUAAUAAAAUAAAAUAUAGAUAAAAAUAUUAAUUGAUUAGAGAAUUAAUAAAAAGUGCACAUGCUGUGCUGGAGGGACAAAGCAAACAAAGUGGCCACAACAAUUAAGAAAAGCAGUUUUGCAUGUAAAAAAGGUUUGGUUUGUCUCCCAGGACCUGCUUGUGAUGGUAAAGACACUUCAACUGUUCCCCCAAAUUAAAAUAAAAAAAAGUAAUAUAAAGAAAGGCUUAGAUUCCAGAUUAAAAAAGAAUACUUUGCAUGCAAAUGAUCUGUGUCUGUUUGUUAAGAGGCCUUGAUAGCGACAGACGUUAACUAGUAACUGUUACUCAGAUUUGGGAAGUUAUUUAAUGAUGAUAUACAUAGAACAGAUUUAGAUAUAAAUAGUGAGUUCUGAAUGUGUGGUGACAGUUAAGAGAUUAAAAGCAGAUUGGAUUAUAGAGAUGUGCACAAGGAAAUUCCUGUAGUUAUCGCUUUAGUGUUGUGUGUGUCUGUGUUUGUGUGAAUGGUUGUGUAAAAUUCCAUAUUAGUGGACAAGCAGAGCCGCCCUCCUGCACCGUCCCUUAAAUAGAGCAUGGCAGAGUUGGACGCUCUCUGUGUUGUACUGAGAGGAAUGAAUGACUGAAUGAGCCCUGUAGAUAUAAAGGGACAAAUGUUGAGUGAAUGAGUCUUCUAAAUGUGAAGGACUAGAAUGUGAGAGUGUGUUUGACUGUUUGUGUUUAGUAGUGUGUUUGUGAUAAAUAGUGAAAUAAAAUAAUCAUUAUUGUAGAUUAUAAUAUUAUAAUAUUAUAUAUAUAAUAUAAAGAUGGACUGCAGAUAUUGUGUGAUAUAGAAGAGGUAUAUAUAUAUAGAAGAAGUAUAUGAUAUAUAUUGGAAAAGUAUAGAAGAGACUGAUACAGUUUAAGGAAGAGAGUAUAAUAUUUAGGAAAUAAAUACAUUUUGUUCAAAUAGAAAGAUAUAAAGAAAUAUAUUAAAUUAAAGAGAAGCAUAUAACAUAAGUUGACAUGUGCAUACAAAGAGAUCAUAAUUUAAGUUCUUAGAAUAAAAUUUAAUUUAGGGAAUAAUAGCAUCUGAUUUAAUAUUAGUGAGGUGUAAAAGUGUAUAUUGCAAAAUAGUAUAAGAUAAAUAGAAUAAAGUAAAUACAAUAUGGUAGAAGAUUAUGUGUUAUAUAAAGUAAUAAAGUAAGAAGGUAAACGUUUAGGAACAGAGGGGAAUAACACAUAAUAGGAAAUAAUAGAAUUAGAACUUGAAAAAAAAAAUAUAUUUAAAUAUAUAUAAGAUACUCAUCUAAGAGAGAACAGAACAGAAAAUAAUGGCAAAAGGAAGGAACAUUUGAUGUAAGCAGUGUGUGUGUGAGAGAGAGAGAGAGAGAGAGAGAGAGAGAGAGAGAGAGACAGGACAAUGGAUCAAUGACCAAUACAGAGGGAAAUUAUGGAAGUAGCAAAAGAACUUAAAAUGGAUUAAAAGCAAGUAGGGAAAGGUUAAAACUAAAGAGAUGAGUGUGUAAAAAAGAGUGAGAAAAUGUACUAUAGAAUUGAAACAGAUUUAAAAAAUAUUAGAGAAAUUCAAACAAUGUAAAGAAAGGCCAACUAGUGGGAAAACACUAGAUUAGGAAAAAACACAAGCUGAAGCUAAAGAAAGGAAUUAGAAGAAAACUAAAGAAACAGAAAAUUAAAAAAGAUACAGUAGACUUAGUAAUAAAUAUUAAGAAGAAUUAACUAUUGGACAGCAAAUAGAAGAACAUAGAUGAGAGGAGUCUUUAUUUGAUGAAGGAAAAAUGGGAAAGUGGAAAAAUGCUUAGAUUAUUAACUAAGCAAAUUGUUAUAUUAAAUUAAGGGGCACGGAGAUGGACUUUGAAGGGUCCUAGCCUUUUCGCCUGCCUGAUAUCCCUGAAGGCAUUGGGAAAUAGAUUAAGGUGUUUUGAGAAACACAAGGAGCAACUUGUUGACUGUGGACUCUUAUCACAUGAACUAAAGCAGUGAGCCAGGCACUGCAUACAGAGAGCUAUAGAGACUUUGACCCAUCGACAUAUGUUCAAAAGACACUUAAAGAAGGAGAAACAAAAGACUGAUGAACUGAUCAAAAAAGUUAAACUUUCCAGCAACAUCAGCUGGGUGAAAGAGAAGCCAGCACCAAGAGGGAGGAGAAAUGCUCAACACUUUAACUCCUUAAAUAAGCAGGAAAUGUGGGGAUUCCUGAAUACAACAAUGCAAAGACUGCACCAUCUGUGGAACAGUUGCCUUGGGGUUUGAGGGAGAGAGAUUGGCUAUGGCCUAGCAAACUCAAUCUCAAAGCCCAGUAGACAUAUGAUCCAAAUCAAGUAUGUUGCAAAUUAAAACAAAAGUGUAGCCUUUCUUGUAUCAAAUCAGACUCCUGUCAAUUGAUUACUUAGAAAGUUAUUUUAUAAAAUAGGACUUUACAUUUAGUAAAAGAAAUUUGAAUUAAAUAAGGAUUAUGAAAUAAAAAGAUAAUAUCUAUUAAUGAAAACAGAUAGAAGAUGUAAGUAAGACAAUUGAUAAUGGGAAAAUAGAUUGAGUUAAAGCAUUUCUGAAGCAGGGCUAGUAAAAAGAAGAAUUUGUCUAUGCAAAUUUAUAAUUUUAAAAGAGAUUUAGACUUAGAAAAUUAUUAUCAGGAAGAAAUUGAAGGAAAAAACAACAGCACAAGAAAAUAGGUCAACAGUGAAAAGCUCUAAGUGUAGUAAAAGAUGAUUUGGGGAAAAAAGGGGUUUAAUGUAAUAGAUUUUGUUUAAUAUAUCCAUACAAGUAAAAAAAAUGGAAACUAAAUUUGAGGACUAAAGAGUAAAGCAAAACAGAACAAAAAGAUUAAAUGAUUUUUUAGUUAACUUUAAAAUUACAUGAAAGAUGUGUAUACAAUCAAGUAGAUGGGUUGCCUUAGAAAGUAAAUAUUAAUAGAGAGAAGUUUAGAGAAAAAAUAAAUAAAUGCAACAUUCAAAUGAACAAAUAGUUCAAAAUGAUUUAAAGAAGUAAAGUUAAUACUUAAAGAAUUAUUAUCAUUGCAGGACUUGGAUUUAGAAUUACAAAAUAACCAGUACAGUGAGGGUUAAAAUUAAACCAGAUGCACAUCUGCAGAGAAAAGAAAAAAAGCUGAAAUAGGUAUAAAAAACAAUAUUGAAGUUUUAUUAAGAGUGGGAGUAUUAACACCUAGUGAUUAUAAUAUGCAAUACAUAUGUCGUUGGAUAUUUCUAUUUAGAUUAUAUUUCAAUUCAGGUAUGACAGUGUAUGUAAUUAUUAAGAUUUGAAUUUAAAUUGAAUAAAUACUAUAAUUAUGCUGCAUCAAAGCAGGUAAAAAGCAGAAGAUAUAAGAAAAAUAAAUGAGAGAAAAUUUGUCAACUGAAGUUCCUACAUUUUAUGAACAAAUGUUCCUCCUGAUGUCAAAUAUUGUUGAUAACUAGUUUCUUUUUAGCCAAGUUUAGGUAAUUAGCAAAAGAGGAUAGGUACCUAUUAGUAUUUUCAUUUGCUGCUGAAAAUUAUACAUACACAGAGUCUGAAGAUCUUAUGAUGAACAGUAGUGUGUUACACUAUAUUUACACUAUUACACUAUAGUUACACUAUAUAGUUGAUUUAAAUAUCAGCAGCUCCUCAUAGCUCUAGCUCAAUUAAAAGACAGCAAACCCAUUAUGACUUUUAGGGAUGACUGAAAUUUAGCAUUGAUGGAACAGAGAAUUUUACAACAAACUACACUAAAAAAAAUUUAUGAAACAGGAAAGACUGCAAAAAUAAGGCCCUAAAUUAACAGGAAACACAGAUUCAAUAAAAGCAUUUGAGAUGAUGAAAGAAAAAUUAGUUUAUCAUUAAAAGAAACAAUACAGAUUUGAAAGUUAAACAAGUGACAGAAUAUGAGGUAGCAAAUCAUCUAUAGUGCUUAUAGAGGUACAGUCUCAAUUGAAGAACAUUGUGAAAAUUAAAAAACAAAAAAAGUCUCUGUGAACAAUCUAGCAUGAAAGGGGGGAAAUAGCCUAUAUACAUAAAAGACUAAUUGUUGUGCCAACAGCAUCUCCAAGUAUACUUAUUGUCGAUGCACAUGAAUUUGAUCAAGGGUGAAGUAUUAGGAAAACUUAAACAGCAAGGAGAUUGGUAUCAGUCGAAUGCAGUGCUUAGUGAGUUUUGUCCAUGUGACAUCUAUGCUAAAUAUAAUGUGAGGGAAGGAACAGCAAGCAGUACCUGAAGUGAUUUUUAAGCAUUUAGUAAUGAGGGUUUGAGGUUAUAAUAAAAUGAGUACAAGGCAAGAAAUACAUGUUUGUACUACUUAACAGGUUGGGAUUAAAAUCUGGUUGUGAUGAUUAACUAUAUUUCUAAUGAAUAAAAACAUCCAUUCUUAGAUUUGGACUAUCAUCAGAAAUAAUUUCAAAUAAUGAUUGUGCAUUAAUAAAUUUAGAGUAAAUUAAGUAAAUUAAAAAUAGAUAAAUAAGUAAAUAAGUGAUUCAAUAAAUAUUCAAAUAAAUAAAUAAAACAGUUAAAGAAGAACUGUUAAUUAAGAAUGAAUCAAAGGCUAGAGUGAAGUUUAUCAAGCACAAUCACAAGGACUGGUCAAAGGCACCAAGAAGAUUUAUUAAGGCCAUAACUUUUUUGAAAAACGUAAAAAAUGGUAAACCUGAUUGAGUUUGGAUUGGUAAAAUGGACUGAUGUGUAAACUGAUGCUUUAAUGAGUUUUUAUGUAAACUAACAGAUACAGGAACACUGCAUGGAACGCUUAUGGCACAUAAGAAUUUCUGUCGAAUAAGAAAAACUAACUGCCAUGUAUGAAGUUAUUUAUUUACAGGAACAGAACAGGGAACGACAGAAGGAAACUGUUUUGGAAGAUGUUCCUGCUGUUGUUGCUGCUGAUGAUGCAAAUAAAGAUGAGUGAAAGCCUAGAGGUAACUUCUCCAAAGGAGUUCAUCGAAGCUACCAGAGCUCAUAUCAGAUGUACACGGGGAAAGAGGGAAGAUGAUUACGGUCAAGGAACACCUUGGUAUCCAAUGGCAAGAGAUGCAGAAGAGCAGACUCUACUGGCGGUUUAAAAACCCACUGUCUGCUCCAACACCAGACAGUACUCAGAAGUACCUCUGGCGACGUGGGAUAAAACAUCAGAAAUGGCUCUUUUACAGGCGCCGAGAAUAUUCUACAACUAUAUGAUUUCUAUUAAAUGAUAAUUAAUCAAGUAUAUAUGCAGUAUACCAACAACUGUGAGCAAGGCUGACAAACAUAUGUUUUUAACCUGUCUAAUGAUUAUUGUGUGUUGAACUCCCCAAGGAAAGUAUUCAGUUAGGGAGAGCGGGAUCUUUUACUCCCUCUAAAGUCAAAAGUAGAGGGAGACGUUUGGUUCUGUUUCUCCUCUGAAGUGCGGCGAAAGGAUGCUGACAAUUGAUAAGGAUGUAGAUGGGCAACUUUUUGGUUGCACAAGUAUGUUAAGACUUUGCAAGUGUUGGAUUCUUGAGUUGCACUUCAGUGAGGGAUUUAGGAAAAGGACUUUUUUGAUUAAGUCCUUAAGGGGGGAUUUAUAUUGGAGAAUUAUAGAGGAACUUUUAUUAUGUAAUCACUAUAUAAUCACUGUAUAAUCUGCCACUAUUAAAAUACACUGUUAAAACAUAUAGAAAUACAUUCAAGUGAUGCAGAGCAAAACACACAGAAGUAAACAGCGGUGAAGUAAGACCAUUCAGACAGCAUGUGCAACAUGUAUUGAUGUAUUGACCAUGACAAAAACAACUUAAAAACAACUUUGCUCAACCUGCAUGGCAAAAGCAUGCAUAGGGAGAAUCAUUUAAAAAGUGUUGAAAUAUGACCUUUAAGAUGUGCAAAAACAGAAAAACAUACAGCCAUCAAUAUAAAGGCUAGAAUCCUAUUGGAGCCUGGAAAUAACGUGAUGCUCAUGCUACACCACUGUUUCAUGAUGACUAUAGGAAAAACCUGUAUAUAAACUGUGGGUUUUGGAACAUUGGUAGGAGAGAGAUCGAUCGACCAACUCUGCUGUAACAAUAAACUGCUUCAACUUGA
Molecule: non-coding RNA, 6770 nt
Organism: Danio rerio (zebrafish)
Lineage: Eukaryota; Metazoa; Chordata; Actinopteri; Cypriniformes; Danionidae
Source: RefSeq, a predicted model, not a curated record